UACGAAGGGUGCAAGCGUUACUCGGAAUUACUGGGCGUAAAGCGUGCGUAGGUGGUUUGUUAAGUCUGUUGUGAAAGCCCCGGGCUCAACCUGGGAAUGGCAAUGGAUACUGGCAAGCUAGAGUGCGGUAGAGGGUAGUGGAAUUCCCGGUGUAGCGGUGAAAUGCGUAGAGAUCGGGAGGAACACCAGUGGCGAAGGCGGCUACCUGGACCGAGCCACGUGAC
This 224-nucleotide ribosomal RNA is filed under the name uncultured bacterium. RNAcentral describes it as "partial 16S ribosomal RNA". It matches the Rfam family "Bacterial small subunit ribosomal RNA", at positions 524 to 744 of the family's 1533-position model. The record is from RNAcentral.